CCUACGGGAGGCAGCAGUGAGGAAUAUUGGACAAUGGGCGCAAGCCUGAUCCAGCCAUGCCGCGUGCAGGAAGAAGCAUCUAUGGUGUGUAAACUGCUUUUGUACAGGAAGAAACACUCCCUCGUGAGGGAGCUUGACGGUACUGUAAGAAUAAGGACCGGCUAACUCCGUGCCAGCAGCCGCGGUAAUACGGAGGGUCCGAGCGUUAUCCGGAAUCAUUGGGUUUAAAGGGUCCGUAGGCGGUUUAAUAAGUCAGCGGUGAAAUCUGGUCGCUCAACGAUCAAACGGCCAUUGAUACUGUUAGACUUGAAUUAUAAGGAAGUAACUAGAAUAUGUAGUGUAGCGGUGAAAUGCUUAGAUAUUACAUGGAAUACCAAUUGCGAAGGCAGGUUACUACUUAUGGAUUGACGCUGAUGGACGAAAGCGUGGGGAGCGAACAGGAUUAGAUACCCUGGUAGUCCACGCCGUAAACGAUGGAUACUAGCUGUUCGGAGCAAUCUGAGUGGCUAAGCGAAAGUGAUAAGUAUCCCACCUGGGGAGUACGUUCGCAAGAAUGAAACUUAAAGGAAUUGACGGCUGAGAGNGCGAGACGACGACGAGGGAGGAGG
This 608-nucleotide ribosomal RNA is filed under the name uncultured bacterium. RNAcentral's name for it is "bacterial SSU rRNA". It matches the Rfam family "Bacterial small subunit ribosomal RNA", at positions 338 to 948 of the family's 1533-position model. The record is from RNAcentral.